AGUGGAUGGGGAGCAACCUAGUUGUGCGUGUGUAAAGGUAGUGCCAAGAAAAGCGGUGAUCAUGAUGAAAAUCAAUUCCCGGUACCCGAAACCGACACAGGUGGGCAAGUAGAGAAUACUAAGGGGCGCGAGGUAACUCUCUCCAAGGAACUCGGCAAAAUGACCCCGUAACUUAGGGAGAAGGGGUGCCACCGAGAGGUGGUCGCAGUGAAGAGGCCCAGGCGACUGUUUAGCAAAAACAUAGGUCUCUGCAAACUCGAAAGAGGAGGUAUAGGGGCUGACGCCUGCCCAGUGCCGGAAGGUUAAAGAAGUUGGUCAGUCUUAGGAUAAAGCUAGCGACUGAAGCCCCGGUGAACGGCGGCCGUAACUAUAACGGCCCUAAGGUAGCGAAAUUCCUUGUCGGGUAAGUUCCGACCCGCACGAAAGGCGUAACGAUCUGGGCGCUGUCUCGGAGAGAGGCUCGGCGAGAUAGGAUUGUCUGUGAAGAUACGGACUACCUGCAUUUGGACAGAAAGACCCUAUGAAGCUUUACUAUAGCUUGGAAUUGUGUUCGGGCUUCCUGUGCGCAGGAUAGGUGGGAGGCGAAGAAGGUAUUCUUGUGGGGAUACUGGAGCCAACGGUGAGAUACCACUCUCAGGAGGCUAGAAUUCUAACUUAAUUAAGGACAGUUUCAGGUGGGUAGUUUGACUGGGGCGGUCGCCCCCAAAAAGGUAACGGAGGCGUACAAAGGUUCCCUCAGACUGGUUGGAAAUCAGUCGCAGAGUGCAAAGGCAGAAGGGAGCUUGACUGCGAGAAGUACAGUUCGAGCAGGGUGGAAACACGGUCUUAGUGAUCCGACGGUGCUGUGUGGAAGGGCCGUCGCUCAACGGAUAAAAGUUACUCUAGGAUAACAGGCUGAUCUCCCCCAAGAGUUCACAUCGACGGGGAGGUUUGGCACCUCGAUGUCGGCUCAUCGCAACCUGGGGCGGAAGUACGUCCCAAGGGUUGGGCUGUUCGCCCAUUAAAGCGAUACGUGAGCUGGGUUCAGAACGUCGUGAGACAGUUCGGUCCAUAUCCGAUGUAGGCGUGAGAAUAUUGAGAGGAGCCUUCCUUAGUACGAGAGGACCGGGAAGGACGCACCGCUGGUGUACCUGUUAUGAUGCCAAUUGUAAACGCAGGGUAGCCAAGUGCGGAGAGGAUAACCGCUGAAAGCAUCUAAGUGGGAAGCCCACCUCAAGAUGAGUAUUCUGGUGUAAGGUCACGGGAAGACGACCCGUAAAUAGGCACGAGGUGGAAGUGCAGAGAUGUAUGAAGCCGAAGUGUACUAAUAGACCGUCGGCUUG
RNAcentral lists this ribosomal RNA (1322 nucleotides) under metagenome. Its description in RNAcentral is "bacterial LSU rRNA". It matches the Rfam family "Bacterial large subunit ribosomal RNA", at positions 1561 to 2925 of the family's 2925-position model. The record is from RNAcentral.